GCCCCAGUAACGGCGAGUGAAGCGGCAACAGCUCAGAUUUGAAAUCCGGCCUCGGCCCGAGUUGUAAUCUGUAGGGGAUGUCCCUGGCGCGGCGCCUACCGAGUUCCCUGGAACGGGACGCCAUAGAGGGUGAGAGCCCCGUAUGGUUGGACGCCAAGCCUCUGUGGGACUCCUCCGACGAGUCGAGUAGUUUGGGAAUGCUGCUCAAAUUGGGAGGUAAAUCUCUUCUAAAGCUAAAUACCGGCCAGAGACCGAUAGCGCACAAGUAGAGUGAUCGAAAGAUGAAAAGCACCUUGGAAAGGGGGUUAAACAGCACGUGAAAUUGUUGAAAGGGAAGCGCCUGUGACCAGACUCGCGCCGGGCGGAUCAUCCAGCGUUCUCGCUGGUGCACUCCGCCCGGUACGGGCCAGCAUCGGUUUCCGCGGGGGGACAAGAGCGGCGGGAACGUGGCCCUUCGGGGUGUUAUAGCCCGCCGCACGAUGCCCUCUUGGGGACCGAGGAUCGCGCUCUGCAAGGAUGCUGGCGUAAUGGUCACCGGCGACCCGUCUUGAAACACGGACCAAGGAGUCGUCCAUUACGGCGAGCGUUUGGGUGUCAAACCCCUACGCGUAAUGAAAGUGAACGCAGGUGAGAGCUUCGGCGCAUCAUCGACCGAUCCUGAUGUACUCGGAUGGAUUUGAGUAAGAGUCGUACCGGACGGACCCGAAAGAUGGUGAACUAUGCCUGUAUAGGGUGAAGCCAGAGGAAACUCU
RNAcentral lists this ribosomal RNA (752 nucleotides) under Jattaea mookgoponga. RNAcentral describes it as "partial large subunit ribosomal RNA". It matches the Rfam family "Eukaryotic large subunit ribosomal RNA", at positions 77 to 865 of the family's 3401-position model. Lineage: Eukaryota; Fungi; Ascomycota; Sordariomycetes; Calosphaeriales; Calosphaeriaceae. The record is from RNAcentral.